RNAcentral lists this microRNA precursor (95 nucleotides) under Nicotiana sylvestris (wood tobacco). Its description in RNAcentral is "MIR6152 microRNA precursor family". It matches the Rfam family "MIR6152 microRNA precursor family". Lineage: Eukaryota; Viridiplantae; Streptophyta; Magnoliopsida; Solanales; Solanaceae. The record is from Rfam by way of RNAcentral.
UGGACAUAUUAUUGUAUUCGACUGUAUUCACGGCGUGAAACAGGGGAUUACACUGUUUUAAACGGAAAGUGAAUCAAUUAAUAUAAUAGACUCCU